This 142-nucleotide non-coding RNA is filed under the name unclassified sequences. The record is from Rfam.
AAAUGAAUUAAGAGGCAACUCUUAACUGGCCAAUUGGGGAAAAGCCGAGAGGCUCAAGCACAGAGGGCAGAAAGUUCUGCAAAGCAGCGCUAAACAUGCAGAGCGAAGGACACGGCGGUAGCGCCUUACAACGACGUGUCAA